Molecule: ribosomal RNA, 276 nt
Filed under: uncultured SAR86 cluster bacterium
Lineage: Bacteria; Pseudomonadati; Pseudomonadota; Gammaproteobacteria
Description: partial 16S ribosomal RNA
Rfam family: Bacterial small subunit ribosomal RNA
Source: RNAcentral
GCGAGGUGGUGCUAAUCCUAGAAAGUUUCUCGUAGUCCGGAUUGGAGUCUGCAACUCGACUCCAUGAAGUCGGAAUCGCUAGUAAUCGCGGAUCAGCAUGCCGCGGUGAAUACGUUCUCGGGUCUUGUACACACCGGCCGUCACACCAUUGAAGUGGAUUGCACCAGAAGUAGAUAGUCUAACCUUCGGGAGGGCGUUUACCACGGUGUGCUUCAUGACUGGGGUGAAGUCGUAACAAGGUAGCCGUAGGGGAACCUGUGGCUGGAUCACCUCCUU